This is a long non-coding RNA of Conger conger (European conger), 2713 nucleotides long. RefSeq lists it as uncharacterized. NCBI's taxonomy places the organism in Eukaryota, Metazoa, Chordata, Actinopteri, Anguilliformes, Congridae. The transcript has 3 exons. The record is from RefSeq and is a predicted model, not a curated record.
UUAAUCCAGCAGAUCUCUGGUUGGAGCAUCCCUGUCGUGGGCUUUUGCGUGUGUCAAGGUCACACGUUAAAACAAUUAAGGGCACCUGAGCUGUGUGUGGAAGCUAGGGGAUUCAUCACCAUGGUUAGUGUCUCAAUGGAACAGAUGCUUCUGUCAGCAGCAACAGCCUGAGGGAAAAUAAGAGUCUUAGAGUAAAUUACCCAGGCUGUGUCAAACUCUAUCAGUUUUCCUGAUCUUCUCACCCUGCUUCUUUUUCUUGAUUCUUCCCAAACAAAUCACAAGACGACAAGGCAGGGGAAGAGCAGGAUAAACUGGAAAGGGCACAAGAAGCUCCACUUGUCAAUGCUCUUGCAUCUCAACUUCCUCAUGGAUGAAUUGGAUUUGUCCACCACUGUGUAGACGUAAUUCUGCGUCCUCACAUCAGUAAAAUUGCUAAAAGCAUAAUUACAUUACAUUACAUUAUUGGCAUUUGGCAGACGCUCUUAUCCAGAGCGAUGUACAGUUGAUCAGUCUAAGCAGGAGACAAUCCUCCCCUGGAGCAAUGCAGGGUUAAGGGCCUUGCUCAAAGGCCCAACGGCUGUGUGGAUCUUAUUGUGGCUACACUGGGAUUCAAAUCCCCAACCUUGCCUGUCCCAGUCAUUUACCUUAACCACUACGCUACAGGCCGCCCAUAAUGAUGUGUACAUCCUUUAUCAACGUAAGCAGCUGCCUAUGGAUGGAAUUUUCCGUCAGAUAAUUUGUGCAGAGUGCUGUGGAAUGCCGACAGGACCGGUCAUGUUCUGGAAGCUACCUGCCAUCAAGGCGGGCGGGUCAGCCGCGGAAAGAAUGACUUCUGGAGAGGGAAGCGCAGUUGAGAGGAGGUGACCCUCGGAAAGGCUUGGCAGCGGAGGGUGCAGGAAAGGCAGGUCUCAACACUUACCGCUUCACCCCGACUGACACGCAGGCAUGGCGCGUCCAAACCGCCUGGAACAGACGCGUUCAGCCUUGACACAGAGCUGCACCUCCUGCAGCAAGGCGCAGCAUGCCCACGUACACUGAGGCGCACCCACACACAAACCAAUAAAGAGAGAAAAACAUGCGUGGACCCAUGCUUAAGCGCGCAUUCUCUUAAAAACACACGCUGUACACAAACAGUGAUUACACAUAGAAACACACGCGUAUACAAAAACAGCUAGACACGCUAUCAUAUAUUGCACAGUAUACAGACAUGCGUACGUACGUGAGAGCUUGCACAUGUUGGAAGGAAAACACAAACAGUCACAUAUGCUAAUGCAGAAAUCUCAUGUAUGCAUACAUUCAUUGCAGGAACUCACUAAUGUAUGCAUGUGGUUAGAUACAUAUUACUCUUAACAUUUCAACCCCUUUACCAUAUUGCUAAAAUGGCAAGGAUGAGGGAAUGUUACUUUUCGAGAGGCAGGCUUACUUGAGGUGACAUUAAAGGCAGUUCCUUUGUCGUGAUGAAAGAUGUUCUGUGAUUUUAGCUGGCAGAGUCACCGGGCCAGACUUAGGGAGGACACCUGAUAUCCCUGUGGGCUCAGUGGGAACUAGAAAAAUAAUACAGCUCUAUAAUUUGAGCUCAAAUGAAUGGCUGUAGCUUCUUACGCCACAUAUUCUCCUCUACCGCAAAUGAAUCAGUGGAUACAGAAGCUCAAACUUCCUUUAUUGGGCUAAUGGAGUAGACUAAAAGAUGGACAAUACAGACCAAAGGUCCGCCACCUUUUGAGUAAAGAAAGAAUGUGUCUGUGGGACACUCAGAUUAAAGAGAUCUAAUCUGGUUUAAAGCCGUUGCAGACCUGUGGGUAUGAUGGAAUGUUCCACCAAAAUAGGAGCUUUACCAAGGCAGAAGACAUAAGUACGUGCCUGUUUUUACAAAUGGUGCAAUCAUACUGAAGAGGCCAAUAUAGAGAUUAUGACAAACCUCCACAGCUGGCAGAAGCCCAAUGAUCAGAGCAGAGAUGAUGAAAAACCUUGAUAGAUUACAAAACUUAACGGAUCUGAAGUUUUCAAAUUUACCUGCUCAGCGAAUCAUCUGUCCGUGCUGGCAGUUGAUUUAUCACCAUCUACUGGUAGCAGAGUGGAACUGCGUGCUGCAGUAUAGCUUGCCGGUCUUCUUGCACUGCAGUUGUUGCAUGUGUGGGACGAACUGAUAGCCCACUAGGGGCCAGUGUGCAGUCAAAGAGAGCUGGUCAGAGGAGACCAGAAGAAUCUUGUCACAACUGUGAUAUGCAGCCAAGAAGCAACCGCACACCCACCCCUGUCACGACCUCAGCUCCAGCAGUCUUUCAUUUACGUAUAUGUGCAGUACAUCGCCUUUCCGCUCCUCUGUUCUCUAAUAGUGUACUAAUAGGCACAAUCUGCUUAAGACAUACUCCACAGACUCAGAAAACAAUGAAUUAAUGAAUGAAUGAAGCCAUAAAAGGUUAAUUACUUAUGUGAUACUGUAGGCUCUUGUGUAUAAAAGCACCUAACGCAUGUUGGUUUGGUUUAUCGGCAGUAGAGGACACACACGCACACACACAUACACGCACGCAGACACACACACGCACAGUUCUUGGCUGGACUCCUGGGACCCUUGGAACAGACCUGGGUGUGUACAGUAUGCACUUGACAAACUGAGAUAUUGUCUGUGUUAUUGAUAUUAUAGGCUUACCUCAAAUAAGUGAAUGACAACUGACAUGAUACUGAACUAUAUUUGAAUAUUAAGAAUUUAACU